UGGACGCGCCGCUCGGCCCCCCGGCGGGGCGGCGCGGGGCGGAGAGGAGAGGAGCGGAGAGGAGCGGAACCAGGCGGCGUGGCACAGCACGGCCCGGCGAGGCACAGCACGCCAGGUGUAAGGGUGAACAGUGCACAUUCCCAGAAAGGAGAGGACUUGAUUAGAAAGAUUCUGUCCUGCAGCACAUUGGACUGUGAAGCUGCCAGCUGGAACAGUAACAGGUUCUCAAGAUUUAUGCAUCUGUCUCCCUGAAGGACAUUACCACUGCUGUCUAGUGCUGCAUCAGUAUGCCUAGAAGAGGUUGUCAGGAGGAUACUGCAUCCUUUUGUCCAAGCAAGACUACCCUGCCCCAUGGAGAGGAGAUGGGGGCACAGCUGGUGUUAUAAAAAUACGUCCAGCUUUCAAACACCUCCAGCAACUGAGCCAAUACAGAAACAACCCCAGCCCAAUGACUUUUGUGAGCCAGCCUGACCCAGCAGAGCAUAAACACAAAAGAUCUCCUAGGAAAUAGCUUUUGUAUCCCUUAAUUUCAUGGGACAGGUCAGGGCAGGUAGCUGCAUGGAAGCCAGCCAGGAUUGCUGUAUACCCACACCACCAGCAGCCUGCACAAGAGCUCCCACAAGGUUUAAGUCAUGGUAUGUGGGAAAAUGGAACCUCUCUACACAAACUAUUUACAUCAAAAAAAAAAAUCAACACCGGUGAUAAGCACAUGGAGAGGCUUGGGAGCAAGCUCAGCAUAAUCCACAUGUCACUGAGAUAUUGCCUGCAUCCUCCCAGGCAGGUGGAGUCUUUCUUAGGACACCUUGAAGAUCCCCCACUUCUGAGAAUUCACUGGAAAACCUGCUCUGGUGUGGCAGAGAUGGGACUCAACCACGUGGCUUCCUGUACUCAACACUGUCACUUGUAAAAUUACCACGUUGCCCUCUAUACCCACUUUUCUCCCACAAAAGCAAGUAGAUGCUUCCACUCCAGCAUGACAGUGACCUCUCACAUGAAGACAAGGGGUGUCACUUCAUCAGUGUUGACAUUGUGCCAAUAAACACAGUCAUUACUCAA
This is a long non-coding RNA of Onychostruthus taczanowskii (white-rumped snowfinch), 1056 nucleotides long. RefSeq lists it as uncharacterized. Lineage: Eukaryota; Metazoa; Chordata; Aves; Passeriformes; Passeridae. The transcript is spliced from 3 exons. The record is from RefSeq and is a predicted model, not a curated record.